UGGGGAAUAGUCGAACUGGUAAGACGGCUGACUCUGGAUCAGUUGAUACGGGUUCAAAUCCUGUUUCCCCAGCCA
This 75-nucleotide transfer RNA is filed under the name Peptostreptococcaceae bacterium oral taxon 113 str. W5053. RNAcentral describes it as "tRNA-Gln". It matches the Rfam family "tRNA". Rfam says of the family: Transfer RNA (tRNA) molecules are approximately 80 nucleotides in length. Their secondary structure includes four short double-helical elements and three loops (D, anti-codon, and T loops). Lineage: Bacteria; Bacillati; Bacillota; Clostridia; Peptostreptococcales; Peptostreptococcaceae. The record is from RNAcentral. RNAcentral also lists the same sequence under 1 other name.